GAUUCACGGCGGACGGGUGAGUAACUGCCUAGGAAUCUGCCUGGUAGUGGGGGACAACGUUUCGAAAGGAACGCUAAUACCGCAUACGUCCUACGGGAGAAAGUGGGGGAUCUUCGGACCUCACGCUAUCAGAUGAGCCUAGGUCGGAUUAGCUAGUUGGUGGGGUAAAGGCUCACCAAGGCGACGAUCCGUAACUGGUCUGAGAGGAUGAUCAGUCACACUGGAACUGAGACACGGUCCAGACUCCUACGGGAGGCAGCAGUGGGGAAUAUUGGACAAUGGGCGCAAGCCUGAUCCAGCCAUGCCGCGUGUGUGAAGAAGGUCUUCGGAUUGUAAAGCACUUUAAGUUGGGAGGAAGGGCAGUAAGUUAAUACCUUGCUGUUUUGACGUUACCGACAGAAUAAGCACCGGCUAACUCUGUGCCAGCAGCCGCGGUAAUACAGAGGGUGCAAGCGUUAAUCGGAAUUACUGGGCGUAAAGCGCGCGUAGGUGGUUGGGUAAGUUGGAUGUGAAAGCCCCGGGCUCAACCUGGGAACUGCAUCCAAAACUGGCGAGCUAGAGUACGGUAGAGGGUGGUGGAAUUUCCUGUGUAGCGGUGAAAUGCGUAGAUAAAGGAAGGAACAGCGUGGACUACCGCGACCACCUGGACUGAUACUGACACUGAUGUGCGCACCUCGUGUGUCAGCAAACAGUCCUGGGGGUCCCUGUU
RNAcentral lists this ribosomal RNA (709 nucleotides) under Pseudomonas sp. V5R2Y15. RNAcentral's name for it is "bacterial SSU rRNA". It matches the Rfam family "Bacterial small subunit ribosomal RNA", at positions 90 to 791 of the family's 1533-position model. Lineage: Bacteria; Pseudomonadati; Pseudomonadota; Gammaproteobacteria; Pseudomonadales; Pseudomonadaceae. The record is from RNAcentral.